This 263-nucleotide ribosomal RNA is filed under the name uncultured bacterium. RNAcentral's name for it is "partial 16S ribosomal RNA". It matches the Rfam family "Bacterial small subunit ribosomal RNA", at positions 337 to 616 of the family's 1533-position model. The record is from RNAcentral.
GCCUACGGGACGCAGCAGUGGGGGAUAUUGCACAAUGGGGGGAACCCUGAUGCAGCGACGCCGCGUGGGUGAAGGAGCGUUUCGGCGCGUAAAGCCCUAUCGGCAGGGAAGGAGGAGGACGGUACCUGACUAAGAAGCCCCGGCUAACUACGUGCCAGCAGCCGCGGUAAUACGUAGGGGGCAAGCGUUAUCCGGAUUUACUGGGUGUAAAGGGGACGCAGACGGCAGCGCAAGCCAGGAGUGAAAGCCCGGGGCCCAACCCC